Phalacrocorax carbo (great cormorant) is the source of this 1267-nucleotide non-coding RNA. Lineage: Eukaryota; Metazoa; Chordata; Aves; Suliformes; Phalacrocoracidae. The record is from RefSeq and is a predicted model, not a curated record.
GAGAACUCAGCAAGGCAGAGUUUCACAGACAAGAGGAAAUCGCUAAGCAGUAUGCAGCCCAGAGAGUGGAAAGUUUUUUUCUGGGGGGUUUGGUUUGUUUGGGGGCUUUUUACCAACUUCCCCAUGAAUGUAUUUGACAACUCACUGUUCCUGUCUGCACAGGAUCCCAGUGGAAACUGGAGCUGGGAGAGCUCUUCCUGCUUGGUGGAGGCUUCCCAGGAACGUGAGGGAUUUACCAAUCGCCACCUUUCACUCCCUGUCCCUUGCUGUGUCCCACUGAAGGCCAUGUUCAGUGGUAAACUGCAGACGGGUUUGCUGGUGACCUGCUACUUUGUCUACCUGCUGGUGGGUGCAGCUGUGUUCCAGGCACUGGAGAGGACUGCUGAGAAGCAGGAGAAAAUAGCAGCUGCCCAGAUGAAGGAGACUUUUCUGCAGAGCUUUACCCACCUCACAGUGGCAGAGAUGGAGCAGUUUAUGAAGAACCUGACUGAAGCCAUUCAGAAUGGAGUAUACCCUGUUGGAAAUCAAUCACAGAUUGAAGACAGCAACUGGGAUUUCAGUAACUCCUUCUUCUUUGCAGGCACAGUCAUCUCCACAAUAGUGACGCUGACAGGCUGUCCCAGGAAAAGUGAAACCUGCCUGUUUCUCUGCACCUUCACUGCAGAGAUUUGUUGUGAAGGUACAUCAGGUACUUCCACUCAUCCUCACCAGGUUUUGUCAUGAAAAUGGAAUAUUUCUACAAUAGGGAGCACAAGACAGCUCAAGCAUUUGGGACCCUAGUAGCCAAUAAAUUACUCAGAUGUUUUGUCUUUUCCCUAAAAGAAAACAUUGCAUUUUCCAAGUAAUGGAUGUCUUGAGAUAAACUGUGCUCGGGAAAGUGCCUUUUCUCAGGGUCACUGAUAGAGUAAGGACAUACAUGAAGUACAGGACUCUUGCACUGAGGGAUGUACCUCAUGGGGUCUAAGACGAACAAAUUCUCCAGUCCAUUAAAGGAUAUGUUUGGAGUUCUGAAGCAGAGCAGCCAGAGGCAAAGGAGCCAGGUUCAGACGAGCCAAGAGCCAAGCGUCAUGACCUGGGGAGCUCUGCUCUUUGCUGCCUUGCAGCAGCGACAGUUCUGGGCCAUUGCUGGAGUCCUGGUCCUGCUCUUUGGGCUCUGGUGGUGGCUCAGCAGAAGGAGCCAUGAGACCGACACAUGCAGCAAGAAAGGCAGUUGCAGAAAGAAGGGGCACAGGCAGGAGCAAGAAGGAAAACCCAGUGUUGCUCUGGA